UGAGUGAAGAAGGCCCUCGGGUUGUAAAGCUCUUUUGUCCGGAAAGAAAAGCUUCGGGUUAAUACCCCGGGGUUCUGACGGUACCGGAAGAAUAAGCACCGGCUAACUUCGUGCCAGCAGCCGCGGUAAUACGAGGGGUGCAAGCGUUACUCGGAAUUACUGGGCGUAAAGCGUGCGUAGGUGGUUCGUUAAGUCUGAUGUGAAAGCCCUGGGCUCAACCUGGGAAUUGCAUUGGAUACUGGCGGGCUAGAGUGCGGUAGAGGAUAGUGGAAUUCCUGGUGUAGCAGUGAAAUGCGUAGAGAUCAGGAGGAACAUCCGUGGCGAAGGCGACUGUCUGGACCAGCACUGACACUGAGGCACGAAAGCGUGGGGAGCAAACAGGAUUAGAUACCCUGGUAGUCCACGCCCUAAACGA
RNAcentral lists this ribosomal RNA (415 nucleotides) under uncultured bacterium. RNAcentral describes it as "bacterial SSU rRNA". It matches the Rfam family "Bacterial small subunit ribosomal RNA", at positions 402 to 809 of the family's 1533-position model. The record is from RNAcentral.